AUGCUCGUGCUCCCAAACGGGACUGCAGGCAGCACUUACUGCCCAUCGCAGCCGGCCAGGAGCACAGCUCAGUACUUCCCUUCCGCCAGUGCCGAGGAGCAGCCCGGGCUUCCAGGGGCAGAACGCGCCAGCAGCUCUGACACUGUCCCGCCAUGGCUCCGGGACUUCCCGUGCCCCUCAGGCACGGCCCCCGCCGCCAUCUUGCUAGCGGCGCCGCUCCGCGGUGCGGAGCCGGGCCGUGUGCUGCCCUCUGCCCGCCGCGGUGCGGGGCCGGGCCGCGCGGUGCCCUCUGCCCGCCGCGGUGUGGGGCCGGGCCGGGCGGUGCCCCCUGCCCGCCGCGGUGUGGGGCCGGGCCGUGUGGUGCCCCCUGCCCGCCGCGGUGUGGGGCCGGGCCGUGUGGUGCCCCCUGCCCGCCGCGGUGUGGGGCCGGGCGCCGCGGAGCCCCGGCUCGCCAUGGCGGGGCGCCGGGCGCUGUGGAGCGGCACCGUGCAGCUCGUCGCGCUGCCCUCGGCCGCCGGCUGGUCAGGUGGAACGCCGCAGCCGUACAACAGUUUCUACUGGACACCUUCAGAGCCGCCGCCGUGGAAGGGGUGGAGCGGCACCAUGGAGGAGGAGGAGAAGGGGGACGAGACUCUUCAGGGGAGGCAGCAGCAGCCCGGGAGCUCUCCUGAAAAAGGUAUGGAUAAGAACACAGACCAAGAACAGCCUUCAAGUGCCUGUAACCAGUACCCUAAAGAAGCAGUGAAGAAACGUCAGAAUUCGGGUCGAGGUUCCGGAGGCAAUUCCGAUUCUUACAGGACCUUCAGAAAAAGCUUCAGGCUGGACUACAGAUUAGAAGAGGAUGUAACUAAAUCAAAGAGAGGCAAAGAUGGGAGAUUUGUCAACCCGUGGCCAACAUGGAAAUCACCAACCUUACCCAACAUUUUGAAAUGGUCCUUCAUGGAAAAAAAUAACAGCAAUGUGCCACGCUCCAAGCAGGAACUCGACAAAGAACUCCCAGUGUUACAACCUUACUUUGUUCAAACACCAGAAGAUGCUGGGAAGACAGGAGCUGGUAUGCGAGUCACAUGGCUGGGACAUGCCACAGUUAUGGUGGAAAUGGAUGAACUCGUAUUUCUUACUGACCCCAUUUUCAGCCAGAGAGCCUCCCCUGUUCAGCUCUUGGGUCCUAAGCGCUUCCGAGGGCCUCCGUGCACGGUGGCGCAGCUGCCCAAGAUAGACGCGGUGCUGAUCAGCCACACGCACUACGAUCACCUGGACUACAACAGCGUGGCCAGCCUGAACCAGCGCUUCGGGAGCGAGCUGCGCUGGUUUGUGCCCCUGGGGCUCCUGCAGUGGAUGCAGAGAUGUGGUUGUGAGAAUGUGAUCGAACUGGAUUGGUGGGAGGAGAACUGUGUCCCUGGUCAUGAUGCGGUAACUUUUGUCUUCACCCCUUCCCAGCAUUGGUGUAAAAGGACUGUGACAGAUGAUAACAAGGUUCUCUGGGGCAGCUGGUCUGUCUUGGGACCUUGGAAUAGGUUUUUCUUUGCAGGAGAUACUGGAUAUUGUUUUGCUUUUGAACAAAUAGGUAAAAGAUUUGGACCUUUUGAUCUUGCAGCCAUCCCCAUUGGAGCCUAUGAACCAAGGUGGUUUAUGAAAUACCAGCACGUGGAUCCUGAAGAAGCAGUAAGAAUCCAUAUUGAUGUUCAAGCAAAGAAGUCUGUAGCAAUUCACUGGGGGACCUUUGCUUUAGCAAAUGAGUAUUACUUGGAUCCUCCGGUUAAAUUGAAUGAAGCUCUUGAAAGAUAUGGCUUGAAAAAAGAUGACUUCUUUCUCUUACGCCAUGGAGAAUCACGGAAUUUGAAUACAAAUGACCGAUUUGAAAACUGAAACAGUGUCAGUUCCUUAUUCAAUAACUACUUGGGGUGAUACAAUGUAUAUUACCUGUUUGUAAUUUUGUGGAGGACACCACGCUGCAGGAAGUUUUGAGUACUUUGAAGGACAAGUUUAAGAUUAAGGUUGGUUUUGUUAUGGGUUGUUUUCCUGUUUUUAUAAACAUCAAUAGGUUAUUCUGUAAAAUUAUUUACUUCAGAAAGAGUGAAACUAAAAUACAGAACACCUAGCUAAGCAUCCACAGAGCAGAGAUAUACUGAGUUACAUGGAUCAGAAACUAAAUGUCAGUAAUGACACGUGUUGCUUUGGAUCUGCUAAUUCUCAACAUUUGUUCCUAGAAUGGUGACCGUUACAUUUUGCUUAGUGAUGAUAAGAUUCCACCAAGGGUGUGAGGUGGGUGAUAAAAAUGAGACAUCUUUGCAAAAAGGCACACUGGAAAGUCUUGUAUGAUUUCAAACAUCUCAACAGCAUUGUUCUAUGAAGAAAACAUUUAAAAAUAGCUCUUUAUAGACCAGAAAACGAAAACUGAGACAAUGCUGUAGUAAGUUUUCAUGUAUUUUUAGAAAAGAUUACUUGUUUCUGUCAGCUGUCAAAACAAUGGAUAAGAGAUCAACUCUAUCAAAAAGAUGGUACUUGAAAAAAUUAUUUUUAGGUUGGAGAACACAGAAAGGGACAUCUAGAUAUCUCUGUUGUUGAGCUUAAGAAACCAUGUAUCAGCUAUAACUAGAACAGACUGGUCUUAAUGUCUUGUCAGGAGAGCAGUGGGUAAAUUCUUAGUGUCUGGCCUAGUCUUUAUUUUUCUUAGUCAAAUUCAGUAGGAGAAAACAUUAAAUCUACAAAAAGUUGCAAAACGUUAAGUGAUUGCAAUGUAACUUGCUUAUUACAAACUGUACAGUGUUUUAGGAGCAGUGGGAAGGAGAAAAGGAAGUUCACUUUCAAUGCAGCAAUUGUCAAGUUUCUGACUGGGAAUCAUGCCAACUUCUAUUUCUGCCUUAACUGUAUUCCUGGUGAGUUAAAACUACCUAAGUGGAUAUUUUAGAUACGUGUAGCUUUACCCCUGUAUUGAUCAGGGCAUGGGUGUGCCACAGUUUCAAGGUCAUAUUUUUCUUGCAGUUUUAGCUAUUUGCAAAGUGACCUUCUGAAAACAAGGUGCUAUUGCAUUACAGAAAGAGAAGAUAGUAAUGUUUUCUUAAGAGCAGAGUUUAGGUGAUACAGUUCUCUUAAAAACAGAACAAAGUGGAAAACUUUCCUAGCCUUUACAUCUGACACCUUUCUUAGUUUCUCUGUAGUGGAAGUUUUUUAGUAAUUAGGUUCUAGAAGUAUUUUCCAGUAUGUUUUCUUUUCAUCAGUGAAACUCUGUUCAGGUUCUUUUACAAUUGUGUUUGUAUGGAUUCCGCUUCAUUUUGAAUUAAUGCUGGGUUGCUGACUAAAACUUUACAGGGGCUAAUUCUGCAGAAGCACUCAUUCCAGUGAUGCUCCAGUUGCAGAAAAAAAAGGAGUAAAGAUAUCCAUGGAAAGAAGCCCAAGGGCUGCUACAGAAUUGGAAGCUUUUGUAAAAAAGUGGUGAUGCAGCAAAGAUGCCAGUCUCUGAGCGAAUGGGGCAGAGUCCCUGCAGAGUGUGAAGAAAACUGAGUCUUCAUUGUAUUCCUCAAUCACGAUGCCUUCUUCAUCAUUCAUGUUCUUUUUCAAGUUUGCUGCAAAUACCAGGGCUCGAACCAGAAUAUCUCUGUUUACACAGCUGUCAAAAAGCAACACCAUUGAUGGCACCUAGGAUAUUGAAGAAAUAGUCCAUACUUAACCACCAGCAGUAAGUAUGUGUAACUAAAUCACACUUCAGAAAAUGGAAAAAAAUGCACCUAAGCCAUCUAAACAAGAAAUUGUAUGAAAUCCCAGCAUGCUCUGAACUCCUGUCAGAAACUUGCACAGUGUGCACAUUUUCUCUUUAGAAAAGACUGGCCUGUGCAUCAAUGGGCUAAUAAAUGCUUUGUAUUUUCAAUCUCCAAAA
Taeniopygia guttata (zebra finch) is the source of this 3877-nucleotide non-coding RNA. NCBI's taxonomy places the organism in Eukaryota, Metazoa, Chordata, Aves, Passeriformes, Estrildidae. The record is from RefSeq and is a predicted model, not a curated record.